CCCGGCCCCGCAGCCAUUCAGGAGCCGGGAGACAGCGGACGCGGGAGGCGGAAGCCAGGCGGCGUUUGCGGCCCAGCGCCGGGAGUGGACCGGGGCGAUCCACCGCCUGCGGCCCGGCGCUUUCGCCGCGCUCCUGGGCCCGCGCGCCGGAGCCGCGAGCGCUCGCCGGGCUCGGCAGAACCUCCCGGCUCUCGGAACUCGUCCGCCUCCAUCGUUGCCCCUCUGACACCCACCGCCCCCUAAACGUGGCCCUUCCCCACGGCCGUAAUUGUUCUCCGGAGGCUCAGCGCUCCUCUUACCACCGCCUCCCCUUUUUAAAGGGCCUUCCCACUCGCCUGCUUCUCCCCCGCGGUGGUGGUGCCGGGCCCUCCGCAUUUGGGGAGACAACAGACCCCACCCCCGCCCCGGAAUAGGAAUAACCGGAUAAUGGGACGGAGACGGGGGGGGGGGCGCUUAUGUAAAUUGUCCCUUUGCAUAGGUUGCAACCCUCUGCCACACCUCGUGUCUGUGAAUUAAAGAGUGGAUGGAGGUCCAGACAAGUCAGGAUACAAAUAUACCUUUGCUUAAGACUCUUUGUUUGCAAGUAACAGAAACCAACCUGAAGUAGCUUAACCAAAAGGGAAGGACUGUAUCAUAAGGUUGCAGACGCUUCUCACAGAAGCCGGGAGCAGGAAUACAGCUGCAGCAAAGGAGUAGACCCAGGAGUUGGAAAGCUUUCAGGAACUCAAAGGAGAAUACAGUCGUCCCACUAUUCAGCUAGGAAGUCAGCCGAGCGUGGAGAUCAGAGCCAAAACAAGGAAGCUCUGUCCGCUGAUAGAACCCUGGAGCAGCUUGAAACACCAUCUUCUGCUAAAAGGAACCGGGAAUCCUUGAAGAAAUAACGCAUUUCACGGUUGGGACAGAGAAAGCGUAAGUGAGCCUGGACCUUCUUGUCGGGCCAGAAAACAUGAAAACGCUCGAAGAGUGAAGGAGACAUUUCAAAACAACAACGUAGUCCGUUUGAAGGGACUCCCGCUGGCCAAAUCUGGGAAAUUGAAACAUCAAAAUAAAUGAUGAUAGUAGGAGAUUA
Lynx canadensis (Canada lynx) is the source of this 1069-nucleotide long non-coding RNA. RefSeq lists it as uncharacterized. Lineage: Eukaryota; Metazoa; Chordata; Mammalia; Carnivora; Felidae. The record is from RefSeq and is a predicted model, not a curated record. The transcript is spliced from 4 exons.